Molecule: ribosomal RNA, 691 nt
Filed under: uncultured fungus
Lineage: Eukaryota; Fungi
Description: eukaryotic LSU rRNA
Rfam family: 5.8S ribosomal RNA (bases 221-374)
Source: RNAcentral
AAGAUUCUUGGUCAUUUAGAGGAAGUAAAAGUCGUAACAAGGUUUCCGUAGGUGAACCUGCGGAAGGAUCAUUCAUAAUAAGUGUUUUAUGGCACUUUUUAAAUCCAUAUCCACCUUGUGUGCAAUGUCAGUCGAUCUUCUUCAUGGAGUUCGACCAAACAUCAACCUAAUCUUUUAACUCUUUGUCUGAAAAAUAUUAUGAAUAAACAAUUCAAAAUACAACUUUCAACAACGGAUCUCUUGGCUCUCGCAUCGAUGAAGAACGCAGCGAAAUGCGAUACGUAAUGUGAAUUGCAGAAUUCAGUGAAUCAUCGAAUCUUUGAACGCAUAUUGCGCUCUUUGGUAUUCCGAAGAGCAUGCUUGUUUGAGUAUCAGUAAACACCUCAAAGCUUUUGGAUUUUUUUUGAAAGUUUUGGACUUGAGCAAUCCCAACACCAAUCUUUUUCAGAUCGGUGGCGGGUUGCUUGAAAUGCAGGUGCAGCUGGACAUUCUCCUGAGCUAAAAGCAUAUUCAUUUAGUCCCGUCAAACGGAUUAUUACUUUUGCUGCAGCUAACAUAAAGGGAGUUUGACCGCAUUGGCUGACUGAUGCAGGAUUUUACAAGGGUCGGCAACGAUUCUUGUUAAACUCGAUCUCAAAUCAAGUAAGACUACCCGCUGAACUUAAGCAUAUCAAUAAGCGGAGGAAAUCUU